This 237-nucleotide ribosomal RNA is filed under the name Triticum aestivum (bread wheat). Its description in RNAcentral is "partial small subunit ribosomal RNA". The record is from RNAcentral. Lineage: Eukaryota; Viridiplantae; Streptophyta; Magnoliopsida; Poales; Poaceae.
GCCUAAGAAGGAGAAUGGGAUGAAGGGAGUUGCCCACUGCACAAGAUGACCAAACUCCGGACAAUGAGUUUGCACGGGUUCAAUCAAUCUAAACAUGGGGCCGCACUUGAGAAUGCUCUUGCGAAGAUGAAUCUCCUUCAAAACUUGUGGCUUCAUGGUGAUGAGAUCCCGUCGUGUGUCUUCGCCGCACAGAGCCUUCAAUACCUUGAAAUAGUAUGGCUUAGUGGCACAGUCAAA